This 253-nucleotide ribosomal RNA is filed under the name uncultured bacterium. RNAcentral describes it as "partial 16S ribosomal RNA". It matches the Rfam family "Bacterial small subunit ribosomal RNA", at positions 524 to 776 of the family's 1533-position model. The record is from RNAcentral.
GACAGAGGUGCCAAGCGUUAGGCGGAAUCACUGGGCUUAAAGCGUGUGUAGGCGGAUCGUUAAGUACCUUGUGAAAUCCCACGGCUCAACCGUGGAACUGCUUGGUAUACUGGUUGUCUUGGGCCAUCUAGGGGCUACUGGAACAAACGGUGGAGCGGUGAAAUGCGUAGAUAUCGUUUGGAACGCCAAUGGUGAAAACAAGUAGCUGGGGAUGUGCCGACGCUGAGACACGAAAGCCAGGGGAGCGAACGGG